CAAGGUGGAGACAGUUACACUCCAUUGUUGUUUUAUUUUAUUUUUUCUUACGAAUUCUAUUAAGUACAAGAUUCAAAUUUAAGUGCUCUAUAUCCAAGAAACUUCCAAAUCAAAUGGAAGCUGUCAACUACUGCUCCAGUGCCAUGCCUGCCUGCCUGCUCUAUGCUGCCCACCCAGUGAGCAUGAAGCAAGUCCCCAGUUAACUCCUUUUUCUCCUAAGUUCCCUUGAUCAUUAAAUCUCUCUACAGCACAA
This is a long non-coding RNA of Meriones unguiculatus (Mongolian gerbil), 253 nucleotides long. RefSeq lists it as uncharacterized. The record is from RefSeq and is a predicted model, not a curated record. NCBI's taxonomy places the organism in Eukaryota, Metazoa, Chordata, Mammalia, Rodentia, Muridae. The transcript is spliced from 2 exons.